Mycena olivaceomarginata is the source of this 87-nucleotide non-coding RNA. Lineage: Eukaryota; Fungi; Basidiomycota; Agaricomycetes; Agaricales; Mycenaceae. The record is from the annotation of a GenBank genome assembly.
UUGGACGUAGUGCGCGGCGCACGCCCAUUUCAAAUUCCCGGAGGCUUCAUAUUGUGGGAGGUCUGGGUUCGACUCCCAGCGUCCGAA